GGGCCUGUGGUAUAGUGGUAACAUACCUCCAUGGCAUGGAGGGGUCCGGGGUUCGACUCCCCGCAGGUCCACCA
RNAcentral lists this transfer RNA (74 nucleotides) under Candidatus Brennerbacteria bacterium RIFOXYB1_FULL_41_13. RNAcentral's name for it is "tRNA-Ala". It matches the Rfam family "tRNA". Rfam says of the family: Transfer RNA (tRNA) molecules are approximately 80 nucleotides in length. Their secondary structure includes four short double-helical elements and three loops (D, anti-codon, and T loops). The record is from RNAcentral. Lineage: Bacteria; Candidatus Brenneribacteriota.